UUUAGUUUCAGAGAUGAGAAAAGAAAAAGGGGCUUUUAGUUUCAUAGAUGGUUUUGCCUCGAGGAAUCAGUUAAGCUUCGAAUACGAAUAGUCAUUGAAUCAGUUAAGCAGAGGAGUAAGAUCAAGAAAGCAUCCAAACAAUUAACAAAAUGAAACAAAAGCUCUCACCAGUAGUUGCAGACUGAGAUGACGGGGACAAUGAAGUAGAUGCAUAUGGAGACAACGAAGAUGACAGAGCAGUUGCAAACGACGGUCAAGCACGAUUCUGAUUUCUGAGGUUCAAGUGAGAAAAAAUAGGUAAAUCCAAAUUUUAGUUUAGCUAAUUUCAAUCAAGCACGAUUCUAUGCAGAUUUAUUGAUUUUUUUUUCUUCUGAUUAUCCUCCGAUUUUAGUUUGAAACAUAUCAGAAAAGUAGGAUACUCGUAUCUCGUACGAUACGCGUAUCUUAUCAUUCAAUAACGUAUCCCUUCAUUCCGAUACGUAUCGGGCGCGUAUCCUUUGCGUAUCAAUAUCCCCACAUGUCAAAUAUGGGAUACAUUUGCUUUCCCCUGUGUCCGUGCCUCGUAGGUAAAAUCUCAUAUCUUAAAUUCUAUUUUAUAGUGAAAGUGGACAAGAAGCAGAGUUCAAAGCUUUGACUGAUUAUGGGUGAAUCUCAACUUAACCUAUUCAGUUUUUAGGAUUUUUUUUACUAUUUGUUAUGCAGACGGAUUCAGUGUAAUUUUGAGUUUGUAUUCAGUAUCUCUAUAAAUUUUAGUUUGUAUCGAAUCAUCUUGAAGUUUUAGUGUGAGUGUAUGAGUCGAAGAAGGGAGGAAAAACAAAUCACAG
This 824-nucleotide long non-coding RNA is filed under the name Malus domestica (apple). RNAcentral's name for it is "long non-coding RNA (MDOM_LNC012340)". The record is from RNAcentral. Lineage: Eukaryota; Viridiplantae; Streptophyta; Magnoliopsida; Rosales; Rosaceae.